Molecule: non-coding RNA, 72 nt
Organism: Ictidomys tridecemlineatus (thirteen-lined ground squirrel)
Lineage: Eukaryota; Metazoa; Chordata; Mammalia; Rodentia; Sciuridae
Source: Rfam
UGGGGUGUGGCUCAGAGGCAGAGCGCUCGCCUACCAUGCAUGAGGCACUGGGUUCGAUCCUCAGCACCACAU